Non-coding RNA from Caenorhabditis elegans, 21 nucleotides. The record is from Ensembl. Lineage: Eukaryota; Metazoa; Nematoda; Chromadorea; Rhabditida; Rhabditidae.
UCGCUUUUUUAAUCCAAAGUG